Molecule: ribosomal RNA, 84 nt
Filed under: uncultured bacterium
Lineage: Bacteria
Description: partial 16S ribosomal RNA
Source: RNAcentral
CUCUUCAGACGGGAAGAAACGGUCACGGCCAACACCCGUGACUAAUGACGGUACCGUCAGAAGAAGCACCGGCUAACUACGUGC